AGACAGGAACGCCUGCUUAGGUUCAUGAUGCUCUGUCACUGUCUGGUCUUCACAUGGAUUCAUGAGGCUGCACCAGGAACGGGCCCGCUUCAGCAGCUGUGUCACGUUGCCCGGAGGCCGCCGCCAAGCACUCCAUCCGCCCUCCAUCUUCCGCAACAUCUCCCGUCCAAUAAUUGCCCCUGAGUCUUUAUCUGCAGAGAGAUUUGACAGCCGCCUGGCCGUGUCCUUGGAAGUAGCCUUCUGAAGAGGUUCUCUUGAGCUGGAAAGCCUUGCAGGAGAGCUCCUGGAGGGGUAGGCAACCGAGCAGCACCAUCUGGCCGAUAUAAACCGCCACUCCAAGUGACCUCCGUGCGGGAUGGAGUUGCUGGCAUCCUGACAAGAACGAGCCACCCGACCAUAAUGGCUCCCGGGCCGCACUUUGGACACCCUUGUGCUAACAUGUGUCACAUGCAUGUCGGCGACCAUGGAAUUUUAAGCCGCCAAAAGCCAAAGAAAAAACAGAAUCAGAUACAGCUUCAAUUUGCAGGAUUUGCUGACAUCGGUUGAAAGAUUUUCAGAAGCGUAUUUUUCCUGGAUAUCUCGGGCAAAUUCUUGGCAAAUUCCUGGCAAAUUCCGCAUGCAGCGCUUGAUUGUGGGGUUUAGCAAGUGAAACUGCCAACAACAAAUGAAGUGGCUGAAAAGGAGAAUGACCAGAGCGCCUUCACUCUUGACCUGAUAACUUUCUGCAUGGUUUCCAAGUGUGUCACUAGGCAAAAGGAAAGCGGAUCACACACUACUGCCCCCUAAUGGUGAGUGUAUUCCAAUGAAAUAGCCUCCAAGGAAAACAUUCACAGUGGCAUUCAAAUGGGAAUGUUCUGAUUGUCCGAGCAAAGGCAGAAAUAGUUCUGCAGAUGUUGUAUUGGGUUCCUUUAGCAUGCGUUGGGGUACCUAAUGAAGUGGCCAGUCUCUCUCUCUCUCUCUCUCUCUCUCCCCCUCUCUCUCUCCACUCCCUGUCCCUUUUUCCUCUUCCUCACUCUCUGCUGUCUCGGUCACUCGGUUCCAUAGCAGUAGUUGUGAAGAGUACCGAGUGAGCAGCUCCGUUUCCGCCCCAGAAGCAGGAACCACUACCGGACCGCCCCGCUCCCUCCCCGAUAGCCCGCAUGGAGGUACCAACCGGCCGCAGACGCUGCGCCCCUGUCCGCUCCCUCACGGAACCUUCUUGUCCAGUCUGAGGGGGGGUCGGGGUGGUGGUGGCGGCGGCGGCGGAAAGAAGAAGUCUGCAAGAUCACUUUCGACCCGAGACGAGGAUUUUUUUUUGGAAGGCGAACCGCUCCUCUCUCGCUAUUGACUUUAUUGAAAGAGCAUCGAUGAAUUCGGAUAAAAAUGUUUACCUCGGCAGAGACAAAGGCAUCAUGCGGAAAAGAGCCUUGCUCCUUCGGAAGGGCUGCAGCUUCGAGAUUACCAGCUCGGCCUCGGAGGACUUGGGCUGCAGGCGUGGAGACUUCAGCAGGAAGCACUAUGGCUCUGUGGAGCUGCUGAUAUCCAGUGAUGCAGAUGGGGCCAUUCAGAGGGCGGGACGCUUCAGGGUGGAGAAUGGCUCCACAGAUGAGCAGACUUUGGACUACACCCCUGGAACCUGGAGGAGAACCGACGUCCAUCUGGAGAAUCCCGAGUACCACACCAGAUGGUUCUUUAAAUACUUUCUGGGAAAAGUCCAUCAGAACUACGUGGGCACGGAUGCAGAAAAGAACCCCUUCUACCUGUCAGUGGUGCUGUCAGACCAGAACAAUCAGCGGGUGCUGCAGUAUCGAGCCAUCCUGUGGAGAAAAACGGGGACCUUAAAGAUCAGCCUGCCCUACAGCCCCACCAAAACACUGUCAGUCAAGUCCAUCCUGAGCGCAAUGAACAUGGACAGGUUUGAGAGAGGCCCCAGGGAGAUCCUCAACCCUGACAUUCAGAAGGAUCUGCUGGUGCUGGAGGAACAAGAGGGCUCUGUCAACUUUAAAUUUGGUGUUCUCUAUGCCAAAGACGGACAGCUCACAGAUGAUGAGAUGUUUAGCAACGAAAUGGGCAGCGACAGCUUUGACAAGUUCCUCAAUCUGCUCGGCGACACCAUCACGCUGCAGGGAUGGGCGGGCUACCGGGGAGGCCUGGACACCAAGAAUGACACUACAGGGAUCAAGUCCAUCUACACGGUGUAUCAGGGCCACGAGCUCAUGUUCCAUGUGUCCACCAUGUUGCCCUAUUCCAAAGAGAACAAACAGCAGGUGGAGCGAAAGAGGCAUAUCGGAAACGACAUUGUCACGAUAGUAUUCCAGGAGGGCGAUGAAGUGUCGUCGUCGUUCAAACCCUCCAUGAUCCGAUCUCAUUUCACCCAUAUUUUUGCAUUAGUUAGAUAUAACAGUCAGAACGACAGCUACAGGUUGAAGAUAUUCUCAGAAGAGAGCGUGCCGCUCUUUGGACCUCCUCUACCGUCGCAGCCCGUGUUUACCGAUCACCACGAAUUCAGGGACUUUUUACUAGUCAAACUAAUCAAUGGAGAGAAAGCCACACUGGAGACGCCAACAUUUGCCCAGAAGCGUCAGCGUACCCUGGACAUGCUGAUCCGCUCGCUCUACCAAGACCUCAUGCCCGACCUGCACAAGGUCCCUUUUUCCCCGCAGAACAUGUUGAACCGGCGCUCCUUCAGCGACGUGCUGCCCGAGUCCCCAAAGUCGGCACGCAAGAAGGAGGAGGCGCGGCAGGCCGAAUUUGUCAGGAUAGGCCAGGCUCUCAAGCUGAAGACCAUUGUGAGAGGAGAUGCCCCCACCAGCUUGGUCACCACGGGCCUGUGCAGAAAGGAGCCGUGGGAGUCGCAGUCGUUCUGCAGCACGUUCCCAUAUGAGAUCGUGUGUGCCGACUCCUGGGGUCAGUCGCUGCUGGUGGCCACCGACACAGCGGGAGUCGUCCUGCUGGAGGGACCUGAUCCACCUUCGUCCUGCACUGAAGCGCAGGCUCUCCCCCCGGUACAAGUGUUUGACAAGACGCUGCUGGUGAAGCAGAUGCACAUUCUGGAGCCUCAGGACCUGCUCAUCACCAGGGCGGACAAAGGGAAGGAUGCUCGUCUCUAUGUGUUCCGACUCAGCACGCUCAAGAGAGGUCUGGAGGAGAGGCAGCUCGCUCGGAACAAGUGUGACAGCCGAGAGAAUAAACUGGAGAAAACGAAAGGAUGCCAUUUAUACUCCAUUAACACCCAUCAUGGCUCGGAGCUGAGGAUUGUGGCAGCCAUCAGGAACAAGCUCCUCCUCAUCACGAGGAAGCGCUUUGAAGGCUUCAGCGCCAUGGGAACGGACUCGCCGGUGGAGGAGUUUCAGUACAUACGAGAGAUCUGUCUGUGCGACCCGCCCGUGGUGAUGGCGCUGGUGGACGGGCCGACGGGCGAGAACGACAACAUGAUCUGCGUGGCCUACAAGCAUCAGUUCGACCUCAUCAAUGAGAGCACCGGCGACGCCUACCGGCUGCACCACGUCGACGCCAACAGGGUCAAUUUUGUGGCAGCGAUCGACAUGUAUGAAGAUGGCGAGGCAGGGCUGCUGUUGUGCUACAAUUAUAUUUGUUACUACAAGAAAGUUUGUCCGUUUAACGGCUCCACGCCCAUGAUCCAGUCCAACACGUCAGACUUCCACUUCAGCUGGAACCAGAUGCCCAAUGCUAUUGUUUGCGCCUUCCCGUACAUCCUGGCCUUCACAACAGACUCCAUUGAGAUCCGCCUGGUGGUCAACGGCAACCUCGUGUACACAGCGGUGGUCCCGGAGCUGCAGCUCGCCUCCUCACGGUCGGACAUCUACUUUAUUUCAUCGGCGCCGGUGAGCUCGGCUUCCAACUGCAGUUCCAGGGACACCAGUUCACAGAGUUCUCCGCAAACUCCCACCGGUUACGAGAUGCCCGUCUUCCCCUCGCCCCUCGGUGACGAUUCUAUACGGAUCCCCUAUGGUACCAAGCUUUCGCUGUACAUGUCAAAGGAUGCUGAAGGUGACGCGUCGUGCAAGCACAUCUUCAAGAUCCCGCUGUGCAACCUGGUGGGCCGCAGCAUCGAAAGGCCCCUCAAGUCGCCGCUGGUCAACAAGGUGCUGACGGCGCCGUCGGCCCCCGCCGUGGUCGCCACCACGCCCCUCAUCUCGGCCACGCACUCACUCUCCCUGUCCCGCAUGGAGAUCAAGGAGAUAGCCAGCCGUACGCGCAAAGAGCUGCUGGGCCUAACAGAAGAACCCAGUGGGAAAUCGGACAGCGGCACUUUGAAACAGAGGAAGAUGAGCAAGAAGAACACAGAAGAAGAGGCUAAACCUCGAGCGCUAACGUCAACAAACAGUGACAGGUUGGACUCGGAGGCCAGCGAGUCGGACCUGGACAUCUGCGCCGUGUCAUCCCACCUGGAGGCCGAACCGGAGAGGUCGGUGCUGCAGGCGGAGAGUCCGCCGCUCGCCAGCGCCUUCGCCCUUGCCACUUCCUUCGAGGAAGACGUCCUUGACCUAAAGUGAAGACAAUCCCAUCGUGCACUUCUCUCGACAACCGUUGCUAUGCUCUCCUUCUUUUUUGCUUGCUGUGCUUCUUUGGUUGGGUUUCUAUGACAUGUUUGCAUCCUUGUGAGUGUCCCCUUCCACAGGACAAGACGGACGUUUUCGUCAGAGUCGCCCCGCUACAUCAGUAACUAACCCAAAGAGGCAAAAAUGAGCUUUAGAGGCCAUCUUUGUCCUUCAGCAGCCUUCAGAUGACAGUUGAUCCCAAACCUCAAACUGAAUGUAAAUCCACACAUUCUACACUAUUCACUCUCCCAUCGCUAUACGUAUUCUUAUUUGGAUUUGUCCACACCACCUUGUAAUGAUGAUGCUAGUGUACAUCUGUUUAUACACAAAGACAGUGUCUAUAUUGUGAAAAAAUAUAUAUUUUAUUCUCAUACUUAGUAAAUGUUCUAUGCUGUGUUCCAGUUCUACCCUUCCAUUUAAUAUACACAGGUAAACAGGGCUGGAGGUGUGUCAUUAAGUGCCAUUUCCCAGCAGCCACCACUGCACCUCCCUGAAAGACACCAUUCUUCUGGUAGCAGCCAUGAUUGUAGUCCACUUCUGGUGGAAGAAAAACCCGGUUUAAGCAAAGUGUCCUUGCUUACACAAAUAAACAACAAAGUUAGCAUAACAUUAUGAAUACUUUGCGGUACUGCGUGUCUUUGGGCAACAAAAAAAGCGUUCUGAGUGUAGAAUUGCCACUUUUUGCAGAUUAAACCCUUGCCGUGGCUCACUAUCGCCUCUUCAGGUCGUAAGUGGUAUUACGAGAUAAUGUAAUAGACUCUUAUGUGAAAUACAAGGUAAUGGCUUCCUGGUAGCAGUGUGUCCACUAUGCUGACAUUGUACUACAGCGCCUCUGUGUGGUGGCUUUAUGUCACAGCAGCCUUCAGAUUACUUGCAUGAGCUCUUUUUUCCCGCGCGUGUCCUCCAUUAAGAAAAGGCGGUGGAAGGUGGAUGUUUACAAAGAUGCUCCACUCUUUGUGUAUUAUAACUGAGAUUUGAGCAUAAUUUCCUGCCCCUGUUAAGUCUACGUGGCCGUCGGUGGAUGAACAAUGGACUGGCCUGGCCAACAGACAGCAGAGGCCUCCAGACCGGAAGUGGUCUGCUGGGGGAGAGAACAGGAGGAGAAAGUGGAGGGGAAGUUCAGAAAGUCAAAAAUCUAGUCGAAACAAACCACAUGAAUCAUCUCAGAUUAAGGAUCUUGGUGAAGCUUUUUAGAGCUGCCACUAUUUUUGUCCUUAUGACCGCAUAUGGUGAUCAAAAAUUGUCCAAAGUAUAUUUCAUAAUGGUCCAAUGGCCAAAAAAAGUCAUCUGUCUUUACCUUCUCUCAAACAACUUUAUUCCAAAAGAAUAGAUGUGUGUGUGUGUGUGUGUGUAGUACGUGUACACCUCCCCUGUCCUCAUUAAGGCACUGAAAG
This is a non-coding RNA of Doryrhamphus excisus (bluestripe pipefish), 5935 nucleotides long. The record is from RefSeq and is a predicted model, not a curated record. NCBI's taxonomy places the organism in Eukaryota, Metazoa, Chordata, Actinopteri, Syngnathiformes, Syngnathidae.